UGGGGGAUUGUUGCUGCUGAAGCUGCUGUAAUUGCAACUGUACAGUUUUGGGUAUAGCUUUCUUCACUUCUACCGUUCUUCCUAGUAUUACAUGAGAGUCUUGAAGGGCCUUAUCAGCGAAGGUAGGAUCAGAGAAAGUUACAAAGCCAAAGCCUCUAGGGCUUCUGGUAUUCUUGUCCUUGGCAACAUGAGAAGUUAAAACAGUCCCAUACUUGGCAAAGUGAGCUUUGAGAGCUUCUUCACUGGUCUCCCGAGAUAUACCUCCCACAAAUAACUUAGCUUUAUCGUUAUCCAU
Molecule: unclassified non-coding RNA, 295 nt
Filed under: Hevea brasiliensis (rubber tree)
Lineage: Eukaryota; Viridiplantae; Streptophyta; Magnoliopsida; Malpighiales; Euphorbiaceae
Source: RNAcentral